This 253-nucleotide ribosomal RNA is filed under the name uncultured bacterium. Its description in RNAcentral is "partial 16S ribosomal RNA". It matches the Rfam family "Bacterial small subunit ribosomal RNA", at positions 524 to 776 of the family's 1533-position model. The record is from RNAcentral.
UACGUAGGGUGCGAGCGUUAAUCGGAAUUACUGGGCGUAAAGCGUGCGCAGGCGGUUCGUUGUGUCGGCGGUGAAAGCCCCGGGCUUAACCUGGGAAUGGCCGUUGAAACUGGCGGACUGGAGUGUGGCAGAGGGGGGUGGAAUUCCGCGUGUAGCAGUGAAAUGCGUAGAGAUGCGGAGGAACACCGAUGGCGAAGGCAGCCCCCUGGGCUAACACUGACGCUCAGGCACGAAAGCGUGGGGAGCAAACAGG